CCUACGGGUGGCAGCAGUGGGGAAUAUUGGACAAUGGGGGGAACCCUGAUCCAGCGACGCCGCGUGAGUGAAGAAGUAUUUCGGUAUGUAAAGCUCUAUCAGCAGGGAAGAAAGAAAUGACGGUACCUGACUAAGAAGCCCCGGCUAACUACGUGCCAGCAGCCGCGGUAAUACGUAGGGGGCAAGCGUUAUCCGGAUUUACUGGGUGUAAAGGGAGCGUAGACGGUGAUGCAAGUCAGAAGUGAAAGCCCGGGGCUCAACUCCGGGACUGCUUUUGAAACUGUGUGACUGGGGUGCAGGAGAGGUAAGCGGAAUUCCUGGUGUAGCGGUGAAAUGCGUAGAUAUCAGGAGGAACACCAGUGGCGAAGGCGGCUUACUGGACUGUAACUGACGUUGAGGCUCGAAAGCGUGGGGAGCAAACAGGAUUAGAUACCCCUGUAGUC
Molecule: ribosomal RNA, 443 nt
Filed under: uncultured bacterium
Lineage: Bacteria
Description: partial 16S ribosomal RNA
Rfam family: Bacterial small subunit ribosomal RNA
Source: RNAcentral